GGCAGCAGUGGGGAAUAUUGGACAAUGGGCGCAAGCCCGAUCCAGCCAUGCCGCGUGAGUGAUGAAGGCCCUAGGGUUGUAAAGCUCUUUCACCGGUGAAGAUAAUGACGGUAACCGUAGAAGAAGCCCCGGCUAACUUCGUGCCAGCAGCCGCG
RNAcentral lists this ribosomal RNA (155 nucleotides) under BTEX-degrading bacterium enrichment culture. RNAcentral's name for it is "partial 16S ribosomal RNA". It matches the Rfam family "Bacterial small subunit ribosomal RNA", at positions 347 to 519 of the family's 1533-position model. The record is from RNAcentral.